AGCUAGGAGACUCACCUCGAUAGUGCGUAGCGGGUAGAGUGACAGGGACGCUACAAGACGGACAAUGAGCACAAGCACCUCAAAUAGGGUCUAUUUUCGCUGCACCAAACUAGAUGGACGAAGCUAGAUGGUCCAGAUUAUCUUUCAGCUCUGUGCCAGGGCCUUGUGCUUAAGCUUAUUGUGAUAGCAUCAACGCUGCCUUAUAAUGAUGUUUUUUGUCAUAGUGACGUUGGAAAUGUAGGCUUACCUGUGGCUUAUUUUGGUCUUCUUAACAAAGCUUAAGACAUCCUUUUCCAUGAGGAGGUGGUGCGAAUUUCACGGGGCCGUGUGCCAAAUCGUGUUUAAGCUAUGGAUGUCGGUGAGAUUCCAUCCAGGGUCAUGAUCAAGGCGGCAUUCAC
Molecule: long non-coding RNA, 398 nt
Organism: Lolium rigidum
Lineage: Eukaryota; Viridiplantae; Streptophyta; Magnoliopsida; Poales; Poaceae
Exons: 3
Source: RefSeq, a predicted model, not a curated record